UUUAUGGCUUAUACGUAUAUCUCACUCUCAAGACUUGGUCUCUGCCUCUAGCUAUUUCUUCCUUUAUUUAUUUUUCAUUUCCUUUUAAUUUUUCAUGGAAGGAUAAGAGAAACCAGUAGUUUCUGCAGACUGCAGUGAAAGUUCAUAUUUGAUCAGCAAGCUUUUAUAUGGAAGCCAAAGUUGAAGAACCCUAGGGGAUGAAUGCAUGAGUUGUGGCAUCGAGGGUGGUGGAUGUGAUGGGGAUGAGGUUAGAGAUCAUGUUGACAGAAGAGAGAGAGCACAACCCACCAUCGGCUAAAGAGAGUCUUUUCCGUUGUUGGGAGUGUGCUCUCUUUUCUUCUGUCAUCAUCUCCUACAUUCCCGUCUCUCAGCACUGUCUGAUCUCUGUCGAUCUAUAGCCUCAAAGUAAUUAAGUAUUACUUGUGUGCAAAACUGGGGAAAUUUCUUACGCAGAUGAUUCUUGUAGCAGCGGUAAUUAACCAGCCGAAUUCUUUUUUGGAGGAAUAAAUUUUACGAAUUAUUUUGCAGCUCUUGAUCAAAUAUUUAUUAUGGUCAACUUAUAAGCGACGCUGGUUUACUACUAAUCUUGGUUUCUACUUGUACAACAUUCAAAUGUUAUUCGGAAACUUGAUCGGUGUUGUAAACCGUGACAGCUUAGUGAUCGACAUAGUUUUCUUUUCUGCUUCGAUGACUUCUUGUAUAGAAUGAUACAGUUUUCUACUUUGUUUUGAGGGCUGCUUGUCAAGUGCCAUACUCCUUGCUCAUCCUCGAUGCGAAGGGAACAGGAAAGGCCUGUAACAUAUUGCAAAACAAAGAUCCGAAACCAGGAUCGGUGAGGGAGAUCGCAAAAGGGGCUAAUGACAUUUCACUGAAACGUGGUAGGCGCCAGCAGCUAUCAUAAAGAAGUGGAGCUACAAGCAUGGUGGAAAAAUUCAAUUCCUUGAUGGUGUAUGCCGUGAUUGACAGACCAUCUGACCCGCAUGGAAAUCUUACUUGCAGAAUGUUCAGAUUUGCAUUUGCCUUGUACACAGUUUUUAUCUGUACAUCACUUGGAUACGGAGUUUGUACCGUUCCAUAUCACGAAGAGGAAUCUGUUUUCGAUGUAUAUUAUGUGCUCAAAUGUGAUCGACAAUAUUCUCAAGUUUUCGCAAAGCAGACUUUUAAAGUUC
Malus domestica (apple) is the source of this 1169-nucleotide long non-coding RNA. RefSeq lists it as uncharacterized. The record is from RefSeq and is a predicted model, not a curated record. Lineage: Eukaryota; Viridiplantae; Streptophyta; Magnoliopsida; Rosales; Rosaceae.